UUAAAUAAUAAUUAAUUUAAAAAAAAUAGUCAUCAUAAAAACUUCCCGAUUGAAAUACGACCUUGCGCGACAAGAUGGCUUCAUUAUUUAACAGUAGCUGUGUGAUUUCAUGACUGUGAUUUCCUGUAGGCUACUAGAAAAUAGUGAAAGCAGCGAAGGAAAUGGUGAAUAAGACUUUUAACGGUAGGAGAAGCAUGAGCAUUAAGAAUUCCCAAGCAAACAUAUCAACAUAGUCUACUAAUUUAAAAAAAAUAACAUGAAAUGUGGCUGAAAUAGCCACAUGAUCUGAGUGACUGAUGCUCGCAGUGGUCGAAUUGGUUAAGUUUUUCAUAAUAGUUCAGUCACUUUUAAAUUCUUUUAUGGCUGAAAGACAAGUCAGUGUGUGUGUGUGUGUGUGUGUGUGUAGGCCUAUAUGCGGGUGUCUAAGUACGUAAACUACAUGGAGUUAUGAAACUGAAGGAUUUGGUUAGAAUUAAAUGUGUAUGCAUGUAUGUAUGUCUAUGUAGCAUAUUGUGGGGGAAAACCGCUGAAAAGAUAUCCCUCAUCCUCGUUUUGUUUUAGCUCAUUUCCCCCCGCUUUUUUAGGUGGGACAAGCGCCUUCCUAUUCUAAUUGCAUUGUAAAUAUGCAUCACCAUGAUAAUGGGGUCGCGCGCAGGCGUAGCCCCGCCGCUCACGUGCGCUUCACAACUUCGGGCCCUCUCACUGCGUGUAGAUGGAGGACGGGGUCAGAGGAUAAACUAGCUUACAAGUAAAGUUCAAUUUCUCUCGGUAACAAACAAGGAGACGCAACUGGGCUUGUCCCGAAAAUAUGCAUGAGCCUAGCAACACGCGUGCAUAUAGGACAGCACGUGUCUCGAGCCGCCUGGGAUGAAAAUCUUUACGUGUGCCCGUCUGGCCACUUCUAUUGGGUGCCACCUCAGCUGAGCAGCUCGGAGCAAAGGUGCAUAAACUGAAGAGCGCUUAGACACGCACAAAAAAAAAAGUUCCGGAGAUGCGUGUUGCCUCGAGUGUCAGCGUGCAAAAGGGUAGAUUAUUAAUGGGCGGCGGACACUAAGCGUUGGUUUUAAGGGAGCCGGGAAAUAUGACCAUAACUGUCCGGCGGAAGCGAGUGAGGCGAAAUGGAGCUGUCUAAAAUAAAAUCCAGCAAUAAAAUCCAGCAUAAGGUGAAGAGAGAUGGGAGAUGAGGUCAAAUAAAAGAUGGAUUGCUCACUGUGCUGAGAGUAAAGGUUAAGAGCAUCAAUGGAUGAUGACUUCAACCCAUUUAUAGAUAUGCCCUGGAUCUGAGGGAUGGAUGAAUUGUCUUCUUUGAGAGUUUCCCAGAUUAUGUGUGUUGGUUUGUGGAGUGCAGACCAUAUACUAUAGCAGCUGGAAUUUUAAUAAAUUCGCAGUAGCAUCUGGAUUGACACAAGAUACAUGCCUUGAAUGUUGUAUACAAGUGAAGUCACUAUGCAAAGUGUGAUUGUACGGCCUUCUCCUUGCACAAAUAUUUUGGAUCAAAAUUUACUUGAAUAUGUUUGCACUAUGAAGUUUAUUUAUACAAUAAAUUGUUUAUUUUUCUAGAAGGACAUUGCAGUGUGUGAUUUGUUUUUCUGAAUUGUAGAUGAUGGAAUUUCUAAUACGGUGGAUAUUAAAAUGAUCAGUCUUAGGUCGACUGAAAUGGUAAAUGUGGCUCAAUCAUUAUUUCACCAAGAGAGUGCUACA
Molecule: long non-coding RNA, 1701 nt
Organism: Ictalurus punctatus (channel catfish)
Lineage: Eukaryota; Metazoa; Chordata; Actinopteri; Siluriformes; Ictaluridae
Exons: 4
Source: RefSeq, a predicted model, not a curated record